RNAcentral lists this ribosomal RNA (242 nucleotides) under uncultured bacterium. RNAcentral's name for it is "partial 16S ribosomal RNA". It matches the Rfam family "Bacterial small subunit ribosomal RNA", at positions 524 to 761 of the family's 1533-position model. The record is from RNAcentral.
UACGUAGGGUGCAAGCGUUAAUCGGAAUACUGGGCGUAAAGCGUGCGCAGGCGGUUUUGUAAGUUUGUCGUGAAAGCCCCGGGCUCGAACCUGGGAAUUGCGAUGAAGACUGCAAGGCUUGGAUCUGGCAGAGGGGGGUAGAAUUCCGACGGUGUAGCAGUGAAAUGCGUGAGAGAUGUGGAGGAACACCGAUGGCGAAGGCAGCCCCCUGGGUCAAGAUUGACGCUCGAUGCACGAAAGCG